GAUGAACGCUGGCGGCGUGCCUAAUACAUGCAAGUCGAGCGAACAGACGAGGAGCUUGCUCCUCUGACGUUAGCGGCGGACGGGUGAGUAACACGUGGAUAACCUACCUAUAAGACUGGGAUAACUUCGGGAAACCGGAGCUAAUACCGGAUAAUAUAUUGAACCGCAUGGUUCAAUAGUGAAAGACGGUUUUGCUGUCACUUAUAGAUGGAUCCGCGCCCAUUAGCUAGUUGGUAAGGUAACGGCUUACCAAGGCGACGAUGCGUAGCCGACCUGAGAGGGUGAUCGGCCACACUGGAACUGAGACACGGUCCAGACUCCUACGGGAGGCAGCAGUAGGGAAUCUUCCGCAAUGGGCGAAAGCCUGACGGAGCAACGCCGCGUGAGUGAUGAAGGUCUUCGGAUCGUAAAACUCUGUUAUUAGGGAAGAACAAAUGUGUAAGUAACUAUGCACGUCUUGACGGUACCUAAUCAGAAAGCCACGGCUAACUACGUG
This 496-nucleotide ribosomal RNA is filed under the name uncultured bacterium. RNAcentral's name for it is "partial 16S ribosomal RNA". It matches the Rfam family "Bacterial small subunit ribosomal RNA", at positions 28 to 507 of the family's 1533-position model. The record is from RNAcentral.